RNAcentral lists this ribosomal RNA (460 nucleotides) under uncultured bacterium. RNAcentral describes it as "partial 16S ribosomal RNA". It matches the Rfam family "Bacterial small subunit ribosomal RNA", at positions 338 to 795 of the family's 1533-position model. The record is from RNAcentral.
CCUACGGGUGGCAGCAGUGAGGAAUAUUGGUCAAUGGGCGCGAGCCUGAACCAGCCAAGCCGCGUGAGGGAAGACGGCCCUACGGGUUGUAAACCUCUUUUGCCGGGGAGCAACGGGCGCCACGUGUGGCGCCACUGAAAGUACCCGGAGAAAAAGCAUCGGCUAACUCCGUGCCACCAGCCGCGGUAAUACGGAGGAUGCGAGCGUUAUCCGGAUUUAUUGGGUUAAAGGGGUGCGUAGGCGGAGCGGUAAGUCAGUGGUAAAAUUGAGGGGCUCAACCCCCUCGCGCCAUUGAGACUGGCGCUCUUGAGUGGAAGAGAAGUAUGCGGAAUGCGUGGUGUAGCGGUGAAAUGCAUAGAUAUCACGCAGAACCCCGAUUGCGAAGGCAGCAUGCCGGCUUCCUACUGACGCUGAGGCACGAAAGCGUGGGGAUCGAACAGGAUUAGAUACCCGGGUAGUC